CUGCUUUGAUGAAGUUUUCGGAUGGAUUUAAACAGCUUAGUGGCGGACGGGUGAGUAACGCGUGGGUAACCUGCCUUUCAGAGGGGGACAACAGUUGGAAACGACUGCUAAUACCGCAUAAGCGCACGGUAUCGCAUGAUACAGUGUGAAAAACUCCGGUGGUAUAAGAUGGACCCGCGUCUGAUUAGCUAGUUGGCAGGGCAACGGCCUACCAAGGCGACGAUCAGUAGGGGUUCUGAGAGGAAGGUCCCCACAUUGGGACUGAGACACGGCCCAAACUCC
Molecule: ribosomal RNA, 282 nt
Filed under: uncultured Lachnospiraceae bacterium
Lineage: Bacteria; Bacillati; Bacillota; Clostridia; Lachnospirales; Lachnospiraceae
Description: partial 16S ribosomal RNA
Rfam family: Bacterial small subunit ribosomal RNA (bases 45-282)
Source: RNAcentral